CCGGAGAGGGAUGGGCCCGCGGCCUAUCAGCUUGUUGGUGAGGUAACGGCUCACCAAGGCGACGACGGGUAGCUGGUCUGAGAGGACGACCAGCCACACUGGAACUGAGAUACGGUCCAG
Molecule: ribosomal RNA, 120 nt
Filed under: uncultured bacterium
Lineage: Bacteria
Description: partial 16S ribosomal RNA
Rfam family: Bacterial small subunit ribosomal RNA
Source: RNAcentral